AUACCAGCAUUUUUAGCAACAUGGAUGAACCUAGAAAUAACCUUGCUAAGUGAAGUCAGCCAUACAAUGAGGCACCAACAUCAAAUGCUUUCACUGACAUGUGGAAUCUGAAAAAAGGACAGACGGAACUUCUUUGCAGAACAGAUGCUGACUCACAGACAUUGAAAAACUUGUGGUCUCCGGAGGAGACAGUUUAGGGGGUGGGGGGGAUGUGCUUGGGUUGUGGGAUGGAAAUCCUGUGAAAUUGGAUUGUGAUGAUCAUUAUACAACUACAAAUGUGAUAAAUUCAUUUUAGUAAUAAAAAAAAAGAAAUGGAAAAAAAAAAAAAGAACAACCAUAUGACACAGCAAUCCCACUCCUGGGCAUAUAUCCAGAAAAAACAUUCAUUCAAAAAGAAAAAUGCACCCCUAUGUUCAUUGCCGUAAUAUUCACAGUAUCCAAGACAUGGAAAUGACCUAAAUCUCCUCAACAGAUGAAUGGAUUAAAAAUGGAUUAUAUGUGGUACAUAUAAAUGAUGGAAUAAUACUCAGCCAUAAAAAGUGCCAUUUGUAGCUACAGGGAUGGAACUAAAGAUUCUUAUACUAAGUGAAGCAAGUCGGAAAGAGAAAGACAAAUACCAUAUGUUAUCACUUCUAAGUGGAAUCUAAAAUAUGGCACAAAUGAAACUCUAUAAAACAGAAAGAGACUCACAGACAUAGAGAUUUGACUUGUGGCUGCCAAGGGGAAGCGGGAAAUGUGGGGGAUAGACUUGGAAUUUGGGGUUAGUAGAUGCAAAUUAUUACAUUUAAAACAGAUAAGCAAUGAGGUCCAACUAUACACCAUAGGGAACUAUAUACAGUCGCUUCUCUUAGGAUAGAACAUGGUGUAAUAAGAUAUGCGAAAAACGAUGUGUGUGUGUGUAUGUGUGUGUGUGUGAGAGAGAGAGAGAGACUGGGUCAUUAUGCUGUAGAGCAGAAACUGAUUCAACAUGUAUAUCAACUAUACCCUAAUAAAUAAAUUUAAGUAAAAAUAAAUAAACAGGCAUUUUUUACAUAUUAAAAGUGAUACUGGAGUUCCCAUUGUGGUGUGGCAGAAAUGAAUCCAACUAGGAAUCAUGAGGUUGCAGGUUCAAUCCCUAGCCUCAAUCAUGGGUUAAGGAUCUGGUGUUGCUGUGAGCUGUGGUGUAGGCUGCAGACGCGGCUCAGAUCCUGCGUUGCUGUGGCUCUGGCAUAGGCUGGUGGCUAUGGCUCUGAUUAGACCCCUAGCCUGGGAACCUCCAUAUGCCACGGGAGUGGCCCAAGAAAUGGCAAAAAGCCAAAAAAAAAAAAAAAAGAAAUCAAUAUACAUUAUAAGUUUAUUAUACACCAGUNACACGGGAUCCGAGCCACAUCUGCAGCCUACACCGCAGCUCACGGCAAUGUCAGAUCUUUAACCCACUGAGCAAGGGCAGGGAUCGAACCCGCAACCUCAUGCUUCCUAGUUGGAUUAAUCACUGCGCCACGAUGGGAACUCCACCAAUAAAAUUUUAAAAAUAAAAAAUUAAAACACACUAGAGGGAGAGCAUACACAAUGACAUAAAAUAAAUGAUUAUUGGUUUCAAAUCUAUUAUUCUUUUUAAAUCUUUAUCAUUUCUGUUGAGCUCUGUUUUAGAAAUUGAACACUGCUGAAGAGUUCUUACUACUUUGGUUCUUGGGAUCUAUAGAGAAUACCAAGUAGUGAUAACAAAGAUCCUUAUCUGCAGUACGAGUGUGGAGUAUCACACCAUCGGAACCCAGCUUGACUACUGAACAUUCCACUGACUAAAUGCAGUAUCUGGAUCAAAUGCAGGGGAGAGUUCGUGUGUCAAAACCAACAACAAUGGAGUUCCCACUGUGGUGCAGUGGAAACUAAUCCAACUAGUAUCCAUGAGGAUGUGGUUUUGAUCCCUGACCUCGUUCAGUGGGUCAGGGACCUGGCGUUGCCAUAAGCUGUAGUGUCGGUCAGAAACACAGCUUGGAUCCCACAUUUCUGUGGAUAUGGCAUAGGCUGGCAGCUGUAGCUCCGACUCAACCCCUAGGCUGAACCUGGGAAAUUCCAUGUGCCACAGGUGCAGCCCUAUAAAGGAAAAAAAAAAAAAACUACAAGCAGAGAGAAACUAAAAAGAAAUGGUCAUUCUAUGGAUUUUAUAUUUUCAUGUAUAUAUUGCAUGUAUUUGACUGGUUGACCUUAUACUUGGCAGUGUAAUUUCUGAGCAUAUUAAUUAAAUACGCCUUUUUUUGCUGUGAUAUUAAAGAAAGAAAUGGAGCAUCCACAUUGAUUGGGAUGGUUUAAGCACAUCCCACACUAUUUCCAUAACCCUUAUUAAAGAUAAAAAGAAAAAAAUGAAUUUACUGGUGCUGGAAUCUCAAAGCAAACACCCGAACUAGUAAAGCUCAGAAUAAUAGGAUAAAUGGAUAGCAGGGUGAGUGAAGCACACAGAAAGACACACUGUCACUGCAUUGUUAAUUUGGCAAAAAUAACAAAAUUAUAGCCUGAAGUUACCAUGUAAAAAGUGUCAGUUUUAUGCAAAUUUUAAUCCACAUACACCUCCCAUAUCACAUACUCCUAAUAGGUCAUGUAAAUAGUAAGUUUUUCUCAACAAUAUAGAAAACAGUCUCUCAUACUUCUUUUUCAGAAAUUUGUAAGGGACUCAAGACUACUAAAGGCAUCCUGCUUAUAUGUGAAUUUUCUUAAUCCUGCUCCAAAUAAAAUAGGUUGCAUUUGGAUAUAAAGUAAUAACUACAUUUUCACCUACUUCACUAAAAUCCCAACGCUGAGUCCCAUCUCAGGGGAAAACUUGGAAACCAAUGUCUUCCUGUACUGAUGUCUUAUCAAGGAAAUAUUUUUCAUACUUGAAUGUUAUUAAUUAAUGGUGAUAAUUUUUCAUACACCAUAGGGAGCACGGAUGCAGACAGUGGAGAAAAGUCUUGGAGAGGAGAAAGAGUAUUUUGAAGAGCUGGUCAUGAGUAUCAUUAGAAUAAAAGAAAAAAUAAACAGUUGAAAACAACUGCACUAGGUUAAGAAUAUCAGGAAUAGAAAGCUAAAGAUUUAUGUUCUCCAUGGCAUUUCAGGAGGAAAAGCAGACACAGCCUCAAACCCUGGACUGGACAUUUACUUGAGAAGCUGCCAUCUCUUCCUUUUCUGGGUCAUUCCCUCAAUACUGUAUUGAGGAAUCCAUUCAACAUCUUGAGAAUAUAGCUUCAAAGGGGUCAGCACAGCUCCUUAAACCGCCCCCACCACACCCAUGAGCCAAACUUUCAAAGCUGACCUUGAAAUCCUAAAAAGACCACUUCUCCUGUGAUUUUUUCUCAGGGAAGAUUCAGGCACAAGGAGCUCCUGCCUGGAGACCAACCUGAGUGUGUUCUUUGUGGUCUACAUGUGAUCUCUCCUCACACAGAAGUCCCAGAAUUCUGCCUACAUGUGGUAGGUGAGCUGUGCUGAUCUUCCCCUUCCAAAUCCAUGUACAGCAGACCCUAAUGCUUCUCCUUGCCCUGAAGUCUGCCCUCAGUCCUCACAAAUGAACCCAGGAGAUCAUGUGAUGAAACUGGCCUCCUUUUAGAAUCACAUGAGGCUCUUAAUUAAAACAACUCUGGACGGAUCAAUUGGUGGAGAAGGAUGAAUCAAGAUGGCAGAGAGGUAAGACGUUGCACUCACCUUUUCCCACAAAGACAUCAAAAAAAAAAAAAAAACCCCCAUCUACAUGAAGAAUGAUUUGCAUAGAACAUCUACUGAAUGCUGGCAGAAGAAUUUAUACCUCCAAAAAGGGUAAGAAACCCUCUACAUAAAUGGGUAGAACAAAAGAAAAAAAAAGAGAGAAAGAAAAGGAAUCAGGACAAGACCAGCAGUCCUGAAGGAAGCUGUUAAAGAGAAAAAGAACCCACAACCUGGGAAGUCAUCUAACCAAUGGGGAGAUCAGCCAAGGUGCAGGGACCUCACCGAGAAAAUCACAGCAGCUGGACUGAGAAGGGCAAAGCAAAGUGAGAGCAGCAUAAAUCAUCUGUACCACCAUCCCAGACGCCACUGCCUAAGGUGUUCAGGCAGGGGAUGGGUGCUGGGAUUCAGGAUGCAGAGGUCAGUUCUGGGGAGAGGACUAGGUUUGGCUGUGUGGAGACGACCUGAGGGGCUAGGGAGCAGUGUGCCAUGGGCUGGGGAGCAGUACACCAUAGCCAAGGGAACCCAGGAGGAGGUCUGGGCCUUUAGGAGAAGCAAGGUGCCAUUGUUGAGGAGGGCAAAAGGAGGAGGGGUGCACCACCAUAGGAAUGUCUUUCCCUGCACAUGCCUGGGCUCUCAGAGGGCUGUGUGCCUCUGGCACAGGCUACGGGUGAUGAGAGAACACUUGCUCGGGCUACAGGAGACCUGGCACCUCUUGUGCUGGCUAUGGGUGUCAGGGCACCUCUGUGUGGGCUAAGAGCAUCAGGGGUUAAGCCCAAUGUGCUUCCUCUUGCAUGAUCUACAGGUGGUGAGGACAACCCACAGCAGUCAUCUCUGAAACCAGAGGGAGGAGUUGUCUGCCACCACUAGGGGUUUGUUAACAGGCUUCACCUGUGGCACCAGCCACCUCAGAGCUCAGCAAAGAUGAGGGCAGUGCAACUGAGCACAGCCCUGUGUUGCUCUCACUCCCUUGGGAACACAGCCACCCUGCUGCUGUUGCUACCAAACACUCCAGGCAGCACCCACACAUGCCUCAUCGCUGUCGCUUCCCAGGACCCUGCAACCAGGAGCAGCCUGUGUAGCACCUCCUGUGUGGGCUAAGCCUCCUGUGUGGGCUGCUUCUUGAAAGGCCUAAAGAUGGUGGGAGAAAAUCACCACAGUUAUCUCUGACUCCAGAGGUGGACGUGGUCUGUCACCACUAGAGGCUCGUGACCAGGCAUCACAUGCAGCCACAAUCACCUCAGAGGGCAACAUGGAGGAGGGCAUUGGGACCAAAAAUAAACCGUGUGGCUCUCACUACCUGGGAACACACACACCUUGCCACUGCCACUGCCAAAGGCUCUGGGUACCAUCCAAAUCUGCCUGAUGUUCAUUGGCAUUCCCAGGGCCCUGCAACUAGGAGCAGCUUUCACCACUUUCUAGUGGGUUUUUGUUACUGUCAAGCACGUAGCAACCAGGCACUGACUACUAGCCUUGUGCAGUGCCUCUGUUUCCCUGGAAACACAAGUAGCACCCUAGCAAGGGGGUAACAGCCUGCUCAAAUGGAGGGAAAAGAGCAAAUAUCCAAAAUCCCAUGCCAAAAAAAAAUAGUAACCCCCACAAAAUACAAAGGGGUGCUUUUGCAUAGAAAAACCCAAGACUAUAGAGGUCUCCCUAAACUCACAGAAAAAUAAAAAUAUAAGCAAAAUAGAGAAGCCCAGGAACCACUGCCAGUUAAAAGACCAGAAGAAUUCAUCUGAAGAAGCAAACAAUGAAACCAAUCUCUGAAGUCAAACAGACACUGAGUUCAAAGGGAGACAAGGAAAAUGGUGAAGGAAUUAAGGGUGAAUAUGAAGGAAUUAAGAGCGGAUAUAGGAGUUCCCAUUGUGGCACAGCAGAAACGAAUCUGACUAGGAACCAUGAGGUUGGGGGUUUGAUCCCUGGCCUCACUUAGUGGGUUAAGGAUCCAGCAUUGCCAUGAGCUGUGGUGUAGGUCACAGAUGCAUCUCGGACCCUGCAUUGCUGUGUCUGUGGCAUAGGCCAGCAGCUACAGCUCCAAUUAGACCCCUAGCCUGGGAACCUCCAUAUGCCAUGGGUGUGGCC
This 5730-nucleotide long non-coding RNA is filed under the name Sus scrofa (pig). RNAcentral describes it as "lncRNA (ENSSSCG00055013726.1)". The record is from RNAcentral. Lineage: Eukaryota; Metazoa; Chordata; Mammalia; Artiodactyla; Suidae.